This is a long non-coding RNA of Sceloporus undulatus (fence lizard), 442 nucleotides long. RefSeq lists it as uncharacterized. The record is from RefSeq and is a predicted model, not a curated record. The transcript is spliced from 2 exons. Lineage: Eukaryota; Metazoa; Chordata; Lepidosauria; Squamata; Phrynosomatidae.
GGCUUAUAUAAGACCAUGAAUAAGCAUUUGUUUUUGUUCAAAUAUAUUGGGGUUGUCAAAUUAGGUUUUUGGAAGGGAUGGGAGUGAUGAUUUGUACUUUUUAUAAUGCUAAUGAAACUAUCCAGCUGCCAAUCCAAUCAGUUUUUGGACAUGAAAUGGAGGAGAGUACUUGACAUUGUGGACUCUGCGCAUGGUGGUGUUGGUGUACUUAUUGGAGACAUUAAGUGAAGGAAGUGUCUCCUUGAUAGCACAAGCUAUCGGUUUCCUGUUGUGAACUAACAGGUUUUUCUGGCAUUGCUAAGCAUGGACAAAGAGGACAAAUAUUUGCCAUGGCGAUACCCUACAAAAUAUAACUUCAACACCACUUUGCAUUUUGCCUAAAGCAUGUAUUAAAUAGCAUGGGGGCUUGUUUUUGCUAAUAUAAAAACAGGUUGGUUGAUAA